Molecule: transfer RNA, 76 nt
Filed under: Halodesulfovibrio sp.
Lineage: Bacteria; Pseudomonadati; Thermodesulfobacteriota; Desulfovibrionia; Desulfovibrionales; Desulfovibrionaceae
Also listed under: 1 other name
Description: tRNA-Ile
Rfam family: tRNA
About the family: Transfer RNA (tRNA) molecules are approximately 80 nucleotides in length.
Source: RNAcentral
GGGCCUAUAGCUCAGUUGGUAGAGCCUCCGGCUCAUAACCGGCAGGUCGCAGGUUCAAAUCCUGCUGGGCCCACCA